AGAGUUUGAUCCUGGCUCAGGAUGAACGCUGGCGGCGUGCUUAACACAUGCAAGUCGAACGAACCUACGGGUUAGUGGCGGACGGGUGAGUAACGCGUGAGAAUCUGCCCUUAGGAGGGGGAUAAUGGCUGGAAACGGCCGCUAAUACCCCAUAUGCCGAGAGGUGAAAGGAGAAAUCGCCUGAGGAUGAGCUCGCGUCUGAUUAGCUAGUUGGUGAGGUAAGAGCUUACCAAGGCAAUGAUCAGUAGCUGGUCUGAGAGGAUGAUCAGCCACACUGGGACUGAGACACGGCCCAGACUCCUACGGGAGGCAGCAGUGGGGAAUUUUCCGCAAUGGGCGAAAGCCUGACGAAGCAACGCCGCGUGAGGGAUGAAGGCCUCUGGGCUGUAAACCUCUUUUCUCAAGGAAGAAGAUCUGACGGUACUUGAGGAAUAAGCCACGGCUAAUUCCGUGCCAGCAGCCGCGGUAAUACGGGAGUGGCAAGCGUUAUCCGGAAUUAUUGGGCGUAAAGCGUCCGCAGGCGGCCUUGUAAGUCUGCUGUCAAAGAGUGGAGCUUAACUCCAUAAAAGCAAUGGAAACUGUAAGGCUUGAGUGUGGUAGGGGCAGAGGGAAUUCCCGGUGUAGCGGUGAAAUGCCUAGAUAUCGGGAAGAACACCAGUGGCGAAGGCGCUCUGCUGGGCCAUAACUGACGCUCAUGGACGAAAGCCAGGGGAGCGAAAGGGAUUAGAUACCCCUGUAGUCCUGGCCGUAAACGAUGAACACUAGGUGUCGGGGGAAUCGACCCCCUCGGUGUCGUAGCCAACGCGUUAAGUGUUCCGCCUGGGGAGUACGCACGCAAGUGUGAAACUCAAAGGAAUUGACGGGGGCCCGCACAAGCGGUGGAGUAUGUGGUUUAAUUCGAUGCAACGCGAAGAACCUUACCAGGGUUUGACAUCCUGCGAAUCCCUUGGAAACGAGGGAGUGCCUUCGGGAGCGCAGAGACAGGUGGUGCAUGGCUGUCGUCAGCUCGUGUCGUGAGAUGUUGGGUUAAGUCCCGCAACGAGCGCAACCCACGUCUUUAGUUGCCAGCAUUGAGUUGGGCACUCUAGAGAGACCGCCGGUGAUAAACCGAAGGAAGGUGUGGAUGACGUCAAGUCAUCAUGCCCCUUACAUCCUGGGCUACACACGUACUACAAUGCUACGGACAGAGGGCAGCAAACUCGCGAGAGCUAGCAAAUCCCAUAAACCGUGGCUCAGUUCAGAUCGUAGGCUGCAACUCGCCUACGUGAAGGAGGAAUCGCUAGUAAUCGCAGGUCAGCAUACUGCGGUGAAUACGUUCCCGGGCCUUGUACACACCGCCCGUCACACCAUGGAAGUUGGCCACGCCCGAAGCCGUUACUCCAACCCUUGUGGAGGAGGACGUCGAAGGUGGGGGCUGAUGACUG
RNAcentral lists this ribosomal RNA (1424 nucleotides) under metagenome. RNAcentral's name for it is "bacterial SSU rRNA". It matches the Rfam family "Bacterial small subunit ribosomal RNA". The record is from RNAcentral.